AAACCAACCGGGAUUGCCUUAGUAACGGCGAGUGAAGCGGCAAAAAGCUCAAAUUUGAAAUCUGGUACCUUCGGUGCCCGAGUUGUAAUUUGGAGAGGGCAACUUUGGGGCCGUUCCUUGUCUAUGUUCCUUGGAACAGGACGUCAUAGAGGGUGAGAAUCCCGUGUGGCGAGGAGUGCGGUUCUUUGUAAAGUGCCUUCGAAGAGUCGAGUUGUUUGGGAAUGCAGCUCUAAGUGGGUGGUAAAUUCCAUCUAAAGCUAAAUAUUGGCGAGAGACCGAUAGCGAACGAGUACAGUGAUGGAAAGAUGAAAAGAACUUUGAAAAGAGAGUGAAAAAGUACGUGAAAUUGUUGAAAGGGAAGGGCAUUUGAUCAGACAUGGUGUUUUGUGCCCUCUGCUCCUUGUGGGUAGGGGAAUCUCGCAUUUCACUGGGCCAGCAUCAGUUUGGUGGCAGGAUAAAUCCAUAGGAAUGUAGCUUGCCUCGGUAAGUAUUAUAGCCUGUGGGAAUACUGCC
RNAcentral lists this ribosomal RNA (513 nucleotides) under uncultured Saccharomyces. RNAcentral describes it as "eukaryotic LSU rRNA". It matches the Rfam family "Eukaryotic large subunit ribosomal RNA", at positions 62 to 578 of the family's 3401-position model. The record is from RNAcentral. Lineage: Eukaryota; Fungi; Ascomycota; Saccharomycetes; Saccharomycetales; Saccharomycetaceae.